AAGCGCUUGUGACCAGACUUGGGCUUGGUUGAUCAUCCGGGGUUCUCCCCGGUGCACUCUUCCGGCUCAGGCCAGCAUCAGUUCGCCCUGGGGGAUAAAGGCGGCGGGAAUGUGGCUCUCUUCGGGGAGUGUUAUAGCCCGUCGUGUAAUACCCUGGGGGGGACUGAGGUUCGCGCAUCUGCAAGGAUGCUGGCGUAAUGGUCAUCA
RNAcentral lists this ribosomal RNA (207 nucleotides) under Fusarium sp. RNAcentral describes it as "partial large subunit ribosomal RNA". The record is from RNAcentral. Lineage: Eukaryota; Fungi; Ascomycota; Sordariomycetes; Hypocreales; Nectriaceae.